GUGGGGAAUCUUCCGCAAUGGACGAAAGUCUGACGGGGCAACGCCGCGUGAGUGAAGAAGGUUUUCGGAUCGUAAAGCUCUUUCGUUAGGGACGAACGUGCUCUUUGUGAAUAAUGAGGAGUAAUGACGGUACCUAAAUAAGAAGCCACGGCUAACUACGUGCCAGCAGCCGCGGUAAUACGUAGGUGGCAAGCGCUGUCCGGAAUUAUUGGGCGUAAAGCGCGCGCAGGCGGGAUAUCAAGUCUGUCUUAAAAGUGCGAGGCUCAACCUCGUAAGGGGACAGAAACUGGUAUUCUUGAGUGUCGGAGAGGAAAGUGGAAUUCCAAGUGUAGCGGUGAAAUGCGUAGAGAUUUGGAAGAACACCAGUGGCGAAGGCGACUUUCUGGACGAUGUCUGACGCUGAGGCGCGAAAGCUAGGGGAGCGAACGGGAUUAGAAACCCCGGUAGUCC
Molecule: ribosomal RNA, 450 nt
Filed under: uncultured bacterium
Lineage: Bacteria
Description: partial 16S ribosomal RNA
Rfam family: Bacterial small subunit ribosomal RNA
Source: RNAcentral